GGGGAUUUUGGGCGUAAGAGCUCGUAGGUGGCUUGUCGCGUCUGCCGUGAAAACCCGAGGCUCAACCUCGGGCGUGCGGUGGGUACGGGCAGGCUAGAGUGUGGUAGGGGAGACUGGAACUCCUGGUGUAGCGGUGAAAUGCGCAGAUAUCAGGAAGAACACCGAUGGCGAAGGCAGGUCUCUGGGCCAUUACUGACACUGAGGAGCGAAAGCAUGGGUAGCGAACAGGAUUAGAUACCCUGGUAGUCCAUGCCGUAAACGUUGGGCACUAGAUGUGGGGGACAUUCCACGUUUUCCGCGUCGUAGCUAACGCAUUAAGUGCCCCGCCUGGGGAGUACGGCCGCAAGGCUAAAACUCAAAGGAAUUGACGGGGGCCCGCACAAGCGGCGGAGCAUGCUGAUUAAUUCGAUGCAACGCGAAGAACCUUACCUAGGCUUGACAUGCACCGGACGAUUCCAGAGAUGGGGUUUUCUUCGGACUGGUGCACAGGUGGUGCAUGGUUGUCGUCAGCUCGUGUCGUGAGAUGUUGGGUUAAGUCCCGCAACGAGCGCAACCCUUGUUCUAUGUUGCCAGCACGUGAUGGUGGGGACUCAUAGGAGACUGCCGGGGUCAACUCGGAGGAAGGUGGGGACGACGUCAAAUCAUCAUGCCCCUUAUGUCUUGGGCUUCAAGCAUGCUACAAUGGUCGGUACAAUGGGUUGCGAAACUGUGAGGUGGAGCGAAUCCCAAAAAGCCGGCCUCAGUUCGGAUUGGGGUCUGCAACUCGACCCCAUGAAGUCGGAGUCGCUAGUAAUCGCAGAUCAGCAACGCUGCGGUGAAUACGUUCCUGGGCC
RNAcentral lists this ribosomal RNA (833 nucleotides) under uncultured bacterium. RNAcentral's name for it is "bacterial SSU rRNA". It matches the Rfam family "Bacterial small subunit ribosomal RNA", at positions 547 to 1380 of the family's 1533-position model. The record is from RNAcentral.